AAGAGACAGCAGCAGCCGCGGUAACACGAAGGGGGCUAGCGUUGUUCGGAAUUACUGGGCGUAAAGCGCGCGUAGGCGGAUAUUUAAGUCAGGGGUGAAAUCCCAAGGCUCAACCUUGGAACUGCCUUUGAUACUGGAUAUCUGGAGUUUGGGAGAGGUGAGUGGAAUUCCGAGUGUAGAGGUGAAAUUCGUAGAUAUUCGGAGGAACACCAGUGGCGAAGGCGGCUCACUGGCUCGGUACUGACGCUGAGGUGCGAAAGCGUGGGGAGCAAACAGGAUUAGAUACCCCCGUAGUCCCUGUCUCUUAUAC
RNAcentral lists this ribosomal RNA (310 nucleotides) under uncultured bacterium. RNAcentral describes it as "partial 16S ribosomal RNA". It matches the Rfam family "Bacterial small subunit ribosomal RNA", at positions 503 to 807 of the family's 1533-position model. The record is from RNAcentral.